AUACGGAGGGUGCAAGCGUUAUUCGGAAUCACUGGGCGUAAAGGACGCGUAGGUGGGUUGGCAAGUCAGAUGUGAAAUCCUACAGCUUAACUGUAGAACUGCAUUUGAAACUGCUAACCUAGAGUAUGGGAGGGGGAGAUGGAAUUAGUGGUGUAGGGGUAAAAUCCGUAGAUAUCACUAGGAAUACCGAAAGCGAAGGCGAUCUCCUGGAACAUAACUGACGCUAAGGCGUGAAAGCGUGGGUAGCAAACGGGAUUAGAUACCCCAGUAGUCC
Molecule: ribosomal RNA, 274 nt
Filed under: uncultured bacterium
Lineage: Bacteria
Description: partial 16S ribosomal RNA
Rfam family: Bacterial small subunit ribosomal RNA
Source: RNAcentral